AGAUGACACUGGUUUGGGCUGAAGAAUGUGUUGCAUGCACAAAUUGCUCUGGAUGAAUACUGCAGACAAUCUGGAGCUCAGCCUCUUUUCCCAUCUUUUGGAAAUCCUUCAAUCACCAAGGGAAGGACCCAGGAAUGCUGAAGCUGCCCACCAGGCACAGCUUAUACCCAAGCUCAUCUUCCUAUUCAAUGAGCCGAGCCUCAUCCCCUCCAAGAUCCCCACCAUCAUUGGCAUCCUGGCCUGUCAGCUGAGGGGCCACUUCAGCACCCAGGACUUGCUCAGGAUUGGGCUGUUUGUUGUGUACACCCUCAAGCCUUCGUCGGUGAAUGAGAGGCAGAUCUGCAUGGACGGAGCCCUGGACCCUUCCCUGCCUGCUGGAAGCCAAACAUCUGGAAAGACAAUCUGGCUCAGAAACCAGUUGCUGGAGAUGCUGCUCAGUGUAAUAUCUUCCCCCCAACUUCAUCUGUCCUCUGAGUCAAAGGAAGAGAUGUUUCUGAAACUGGGGCCUGACUGGUUCCUGCUGCUCCUACAGGGCCACCUGCAUGCCAGCACCACUGUACUGGCAUUGAAGCUGCUGCUGCACUUUCUGGCAAGCCCCUCCCUCCGCACACGGUUUAGAGAUGGCCUGUGUGCAGGAUCCUGGGUGGAACGCAGCACUGAGGGCGUGGACAUUGUAAUGGACAACCUGAAGAGCCAGUCGCCACUGCCUGAGCAGAGCCCGUGCCUGCUUCCUGGGUUCCGUGUCUUGAAUGACUUUCUGGCCCACCACGUCCACAUUCCAGAGGUCUACCUCAUCGUGUCCACCUUCUUCCUGCAGACACCACUCACAGAGCUGACGGAUGGGCCCAAAGACAGCCUUGAUGCCAUGCUUCAGUGGCUCCUGCAGAGGCACCGCCAGGAAGAAGUCCUCCAGGCUGGGCUGUGCACAGAAGGUGCCUUGCUGCUCCUGGAAAUGCUGAAAGCCAUCAUGAGCCAGCCCCUGGCAGGUUCUGAGGAUGGUGCCUGGGCACAGACCUUCCUGGCCAGCGUGCUGCAGUUCCUCAGCCUCGUGCACCGCACCUACCCCCAGGACACAGCGUGGCGAGCCCCGGAGUUCCUCCAGACCUUGGCCAUAGCCGCCUUCCCUCUGGGAGCCCAAAAGGGGGCUGGGGCUGAGUCCACCCAGAACACCAGCAGUCCUGAGGCCGCAGCUGAAGGCGACAGCACAGUGGAGGGUCUCCAGGCUCCCACCAAGGCACAUCCCGCCCGGAGGCAGCUGAGGGAGUUCAUGCAGCUCCUCUUGAGGGAGCUCCUGCUUGGAGCCCCCAGCCCCAAGCAGUGCCUGCCCCUGGAGGUGCUCCUGGAGGCUUCUCCAGACCACGCCACCAGCCAACAGAAGCGAGACUUCCAGUCCGAGGUCCUGCUUUCUGCUAUGGAAAUAUUCCACAUGACAAGUGGAGGUGAUGCAGCGAUGUUCAGAGAUGGCAAAGAGCCUCAGCCGAGUGCAGAAGCUGCUGCUGCCCCUUCACUUGCCAACAUCUCCUGCUUCACCCAGAAGCUGGUGGAGAAGCUGUACAGCGGGAUGUUCUCGGCAGACCCCAGGCAUAUCCUCCUCUUCAUCCUGGAGCACAUCAUGGUGAUCUCAGCCCCAUUACAAGCUAGAGACUUUUCCUGACAAGCCUCCAUGCAACCUUUGCUCAAACCCUCCCUGUGAUGGGGAACCCACUAAAGUUCAAGUUGUCCCACCCAGGGCAUGUCUGUGAUUCUUGGAAAGAACUUUCUCUUAUCAAGCUGGGAUCUACCUCCAGCAACUCCUGCCAGCAGUCCUGGGUAUGCCCUCUGCAGCAGAACUAGGAGGACUACUCUCCUUCCUCUUCACAUCUCAUAGAGAGUGAAAUUGGCUCCCAGCACCCUUCAGACUGCGGAGUCACCCACAGACCUCAGGACUGAGCCUCUUCACAGUUUCUAGAGCCAUCUUCACUUGUCUGAUGAGCAGGUCCAGGCAAACCUGGAAAGACUUGAAUUCAAAGGCUUCUUCAGGAACAACUCCAAGAGAGGAGAAAUAGCCCUUGUCAGCUCUGUGAGGGUUAAAAUCAGAUUCCUGGCAAGUUGUGUUGUAAAUGGAAAGAAGCUGCUGAGCUCCCUAUGGCUAAAGCAUGGACUCCCAGCUAAUAUCCCAAACAUAGGUGCCAGUGGGGGCCACCGUGCCUUCAGGGGGACCAGGCCUGAGGGCUUGGCUCCCCACAUAUCCACCAGCCUCCUCUCUUGCUCGCUGUCUGUGAUGCCUGCCCCUCUUAACCUCAGUUUGAGACCCGUCUGAGGAGCAGGAGAGGAACAUGAUAAAGAAAUGAAUCCCAAACUCCAACAGGUUUAAACAGACCUUCACUUCAUGAGUAGAAACAUUGCGUUACCCGUGAAAUUCUAAGGGAGUAGCCUAUAACAAAUUCAUUUUCUAUCGGACUGAAAAACUUUGUGCAUAGUCUUUGUAUUAUGGAUUCUUUUCACGGAAGCCAAACAGAUGUUUGGAGAUGUAUGGACCAGUCCAUGCUAAGGCUACAAAUCAAGGUCUUCUACUUCUCCAAGUUUCUUUUGAACUAAAAUCUUCUGAACUCCAUCUCCAGU
RNAcentral lists this small RNA (2601 nucleotides) under Pongo abelii (Sumatran orangutan). RNAcentral's name for it is "processed transcript". The record is from RNAcentral. Lineage: Eukaryota; Metazoa; Chordata; Mammalia; Primates; Hominidae.